AGUGAACGCUGGCGGUAGGCCUAACACAUGCAAGUCGAACGGCAGCACAGUAAGAGCUUGCUCUUACGGGUGGCGAGUGGCGGACGGGUGAGGAAUACAUCGGAAUCUACUUUUUCGUGGGGGAUAACGUAGGGAAACUUACGCUAAUACCGCAUACGACCUACGGGUGAAAGCAGUGGAUCUUCGGACCUUGCGCGAUUGAAUGAGCCGAUGUCGGAUUAGCUAGUUGGCGGGGUAAAGGCCCACCAAGGCGACGAUCCGUAGCUGGUCUGAGAGGAUGAUCAGCCACACUGGAACUGAGACACGGUCCAGACUCCUACGGGAGGCAGCAGUGGGGAAUAUUGGACAAUGGGCGCAAGCCUGAUCCAGCCAUACCGCGUGGGUGAAGAAGGCCUUCGGGUUGUAAAGCCCUUUUGUUAGGAAAGAAAAGCAGCAGGUUAAUACCCCGCUGUUCUGACGGUACCCAAAGAAUAAGCACCGGCUAACUUCGUG
Molecule: ribosomal RNA, 492 nt
Filed under: uncultured bacterium
Lineage: Bacteria
Description: partial 16S ribosomal RNA
Rfam family: Bacterial small subunit ribosomal RNA
Source: RNAcentral